This 248-nucleotide ribosomal RNA is filed under the name uncultured bacterium. Its description in RNAcentral is "partial 16S ribosomal RNA". It matches the Rfam family "Bacterial small subunit ribosomal RNA", at positions 57 to 305 of the family's 1533-position model. The record is from RNAcentral.
GCAAGUCGAACGGUAACAGUCUCUUCGUAGAGCUGACGAGUGGCGCACGGUUCGUAACGCGUAUGCAACCUACCUCUAACUGGAGAAUAGCCCGGGGAAACUCGGAUUAAUGCUCCAUAACAUCAAGAUUCCUCCUGGUUUCUUGAUUAAAGUUCUGGCGGUUAGAGAUGGGCAUGCGUCCUAUUAGCUUGUUGGCGAGGUAACGGCUCACCAAGGCAACGAUAGGUAGGGGGUCUGAGAGGAUGAUC